CACAUCAUCAGCGCAGCCUCUUGGAGCAACUAGGGUUUUGGAGUGAAGACCUAAGUUUGGUAACCUGUCACAUGAGAGCUAAGUGGAAGAAGAAGCGUAUGAGAAGAUUGAAGAGGAAGCGCCGAAAGAUGAGACAGAGAUCUAAGUAAAGUCUUCUCUAGUGCGGCGCUUUUUGUCAUUUCUUGCUGCUUUUUUUGUUGAGUCGAUUAAGUAGUGAUAUCUGUUUUUGAUUUUAUGUUUUGAUACAUUUUGUUGAAUUAAGUGAACGCCAUUAUUUAACUUGAAAUGGGAUUAUCUUUUGCUUAUCUA
This is a long non-coding RNA of Pistacia vera, 309 nucleotides long. RefSeq lists it as uncharacterized. The transcript has 2 exons. Lineage: Eukaryota; Viridiplantae; Streptophyta; Magnoliopsida; Sapindales; Anacardiaceae. The record is from RefSeq and is a predicted model, not a curated record.